Molecule: long non-coding RNA, 740 nt
Organism: Ricinus communis (castor bean)
Lineage: Eukaryota; Viridiplantae; Streptophyta; Magnoliopsida; Malpighiales; Euphorbiaceae
Exons: 2
Source: RefSeq, a predicted model, not a curated record
AAAUUGGUGACGUGGAUACUUCCUCAUUCACUAGUUGACGCCUAACCCAUUUAAAAAUCUGAGGCCAUUAUUGUUCUAGGUUUUUCAGUUUACACUAGGCUAGAACAUUCAAGUAAUACAACAUAAUUUGACCCCAAAAUUGUGCCACGAUUUUACCACAAAAAUUCGACACGUGACCAAUGUGUGUAUACGCCAAUUUGAAGCGCGCAAGUAGGCAAAGAGUGGAUGGAAGUGCCAAAAUAACAGUUCAAGCAAGAAUUGAUGGGAUCAUUUCUUUUGCUAAUCAUCGUUUCAAUAUUAUUCGUGCUUUUUAACUAAUUAAAUUAUUUUCCAGCAGUACUGGCUGCUUGCAGGUCUUGUUUAAUCUUCAAGGAUCCAGUUGUUAUGAAGGUUGUUCAGAGGGAGCAAUAAAGCCAGUUAUAGAACAGGAGAUGUUUCAGGUUGACAAGUCCACACAGUUUUCAGGGCACGGAAUCUACACAAAAUUACUGUUAAUGAUACCUUAGGGUAUGAAAGAAAAUAAUGUCAUCUUAGUAAGAAAUUCAUGCUCCAAAAGAACAUUUAUUAGGGCACCUAAGAAAGGUUAUUAGUCCUUCUUUAUGCCAAAAUGUAUCUGCGUCUUCGGAAUUGCAGUUACUUGUAUGGGGUAUUUGCAAGCUUGUAUACAUAAUUAGCGAACAUAUCGUAUUCUCUUCGACCUCCUACUUCAUUAAUCGGUACAGCAUCAGAAAUUUCUUUCA